AUUGAACGCUGGCGGCAUGCCUAACACAUGCAAGUCGAACGUGUGGCGGGCGGGUGAGUACUGUCUGGUAACCUGCCCGCUGGCGGGGGAUAACUACUGGAUACGGUAGCUAAUCCCGCAUACCCUCUGCUUUUCCCCGAUUGGAUUAGCUUGUAGGUGAGGUAACGGCUCACCUAGGCGACGAUCCCUAGCUGGUCUGAGAGGAUGACCAGCAAAACUGGAACGGAGACACGGUCCAGACUCCUACGGGAGGCAGCAGUGGGGAAGAUUGCACAAGGGGCGAAAGCCUGAGGCAGAAAUGCCGCGUGUAUGAAGAAGGCCUUCGGGUUGUAAAGUACUUUCAGCGGGGAGGCGUUACCCGCAGAAGAAGCAACGGCUAACUCCGUGCCAGCCGCCGCGGUAAUAC
RNAcentral lists this ribosomal RNA (406 nucleotides) under uncultured bacterium. RNAcentral describes it as "partial 16S ribosomal RNA". It matches the Rfam family "Bacterial small subunit ribosomal RNA", at positions 30 to 526 of the family's 1533-position model. The record is from RNAcentral.